GAUGAACGCUGGCGGCGUGCCUAAUACAUGCAAGUCGAGCGAACAGAUGAGGAGCUUGCUCCUCUGACGUUAGCGGCGGACGGGUGAGUAACACGUGGAUAACCUACCUAUAAGACUGGGAUAACUUCGGGAAACCGGAGCUAAUACCGGAUAAUAUAUUGAACCGCAUGGUUCAAUAGUGAAAGACGGUUUUGCUGUCACUUAUAGAUGGAUCCGCGCCACAUUAGCUAGUUGGUAAGGUAACGGCUUACCAAGGCAACGAUUCGUAGCCGACCUGAGAGGGUGAUCGGCCACACUGGAACUGAGACACGGUCCAGACUCCUACGGGAGGCAGCAGUAGGGAAUCUUCCGCAAUGGGCGAAAGCCUGACGGAGCAACGCCGCGUGAGUGAUGAAGGUCUUCGGAUCGUAAAACUCUGUUAUUAGGGAAGAACAAAUGUGUAAGUAACUAUGCACGUCUUGACGGUACCUAAUCAGAAAGCCACGGCUAACUACGUG
This 497-nucleotide ribosomal RNA is filed under the name uncultured bacterium. RNAcentral describes it as "partial 16S ribosomal RNA". It matches the Rfam family "Bacterial small subunit ribosomal RNA", at positions 28 to 507 of the family's 1533-position model. The record is from RNAcentral.